GAUGAAGAACGUAGCGAAAUGCGAUAAGUAAUGUGAAUUGCAGAAUUCAGUGAAUCAUCGAAUCUUUGAACGCACAUUGCGCCCGCCAGCAUUCUGGCGGGCAUGCCUGUUCGAGCGUCAUUUCAACCCUCGAGCCCCCCCGGGGGCCUCGGUGUUGGGGGACGGCACACCAGCCGCCCCCGAAAUGCAGUGGCGACCUCGCCGCAGCCUCCCCUGCGUAGUAGCACACCCCUCGCACCGGAGCGCGGAGACGGUCACGCCGUAAACCGCCCAACUUCUUAGAGUUGACCUCGGAUCAGGUAGGAAUACCCGCUGAACUUAAGCAUAUCAAUAAGCGGAGGA
RNAcentral lists this unclassified non-coding RNA (342 nucleotides) under soil metagenome. RNAcentral's name for it is "partial contains 5.8S ribosomal RNA, internal transcribed spacer 2, and large subunit ribosomal RNA". The stretch from base 1 to 120 matches the Rfam family "5.8S ribosomal RNA", at positions 35 to 154 of the family's 154-position model. The record is from RNAcentral.